Equus caballus (horse) is the source of this 3527-nucleotide long non-coding RNA. NCBI's taxonomy places the organism in Eukaryota, Metazoa, Chordata, Mammalia, Perissodactyla, Equidae. The record is from Ensembl.
GUGGUGUAGUGGUUAAGUUCACACGUGUUGCCUCAGUGUCCUGGAGCUCACAGCUUUGGAUCCCGGGCACAGACCUAACAGUGCUCAUCAAGCCAUGCUGUGGAAGCAUCCCACACAAAGUAGAGGAAGAUAGGCACAGAUGUUAGCUCAGCAGCAAUCUUCCUCAAGAAAAAAGAGGAAGAUUGGCAAUAGACGUUAGCUGAGGGCCAGUCUUCCUUACAGAAAAAAAGGCUCCUCUGGGCAGAGGUCAGAAGCUGGAUCUCCCAGCCUCCCUUGCAGGCACAGGCACCUUAUUGGCACCACCAAGCAGACACAGGUGUGAAUUGUUAACUCAAAAAUCAGUGGCACAAGCAUCAAAUCAGAAGCAGGAAUCUGUGGAGUCCAUCUGCUGAGGUAGACGGUCAAGUGGUGACAUCUGGUGUUCAGUGACAGCAGCAUGAGUUGAGCCAGUGUGCAUGGGCCACGCUGUGGUAUCUGAAUGGGAACAAGGCCUCUGAUGUGGUUCAGGUAUGGCUCACAUGUGGUUUAGGUGUGGUUGAAGCGUGGUUCAGGUGUGGUUCAAGUGUGGCACAUAUGUGGUUCAGGCAUGGCUCAGUCAUGGCUCAAGUGUGGCUCAGGUGUGGCUGAUGCAUGGUUCAGGCAUACUCACAAGGUCCAGCUGUGGCUGACACAAGGUUCAGAAGUGGCUGACACGUGGUUCAGGCAUGGCUGGCAUGUGAUUAAGGUGUGGCUGGCAUGUGGUUCAGGAGUAGCUGAAACAUGGUUCAGGCGUGGCCCGCACACAACUCAGGUGUGGCUUGUAUGUGUUUCAGGCAUGGUUUGCACAUGAAUCAGAGGUGGCUGACAUGUGGUUAAGGCAUGGCUCACAGUGACAGGCAUGGGUGACAUGUGUUUCAGGUGUGGGUGACAUGUUUCAGGAGUGACUGACACGUGGUUAAGGCAUGGCUGACACGUGACUCAGGCGUGGCUCACAUGUGACUAAGGGGUGGUAUACACAUGACUCAGGCGUGACUGGCACAUGGUUCAAGCAUGGCUGACACGUGGUUCAGACGUGGCUGGCACGUGAAUCAUGCAUGGCUGACACAUGACUCAGGCAUGGCUCACACGUGACUCAGGCAUUCAUCACACAUUAUCCAUGUGUGGCAGACAUGUGCUCACGUGUGUGUGACAUGCCAUACAUGUGUGGCUCCCACGUGACUCACACGUUGCUGAAAUGUGGCUCCCACAUACUCAUUCAUGGCUGGCACGUGGCUCAUGCAUGGUUCAGCUGUGUUUCAUGUGUGGCUCCCCUGUGGUUCCUGUGUGGUUCAAGCAUCGGACAUGUGUGUUUCACAUGUAGCUCAGAUGUGGUUCAAGGGUGUCUCACAUGUGGUUCAUGCAUGGUUCAAGUGUGGCUCACACAUGGUUCAGGUGUAAUUCAGGCGUGGCUAACACACGACUCAUGUGGGUCACACAUGGUAGAGGACACUUUCACACGUGAUUUAGGCAUAGCUCAGACAUGGCUCACAUGUGAUGCAAGCAUGCCACAGAACUGGCUCACAUGUGGCUGGCACAUGAUUCAGGCUUUUGUCAUGCAUGGCUCACACAUGGCUCAGGUGUGGCUCAUGCAUGACUGUGGUGUUGCUCAGGCGUGACUCACAUGUGUUUGUGGCAUGCUUGGCACGUGGUUCAGGCAUGGCUGACACGUGCUUCAAGUGAGGCUGACCUGUGGUUCAAGUGUGACUGGCACUUGGUUCAGGCCUGGCUGGCACGUGACUUCGGCAUGGCUGAGACGUGACUCAGGCAUGGCACACACGUUAUUCAGGAGUGGCCGGCACAUGACUCAGGUGAGGUGGCCACAUGACACAGGUGUGCCUGACACGUCACAUAGGUGUGGUUCGCACAUGGUUCAUGCAUGGCCUUUGUGUGGUUCAGGGGUGACUGGUGCAUGGUUCAAGCAUGGGUGGCAGGUGGUUCAGGCGUGGCUGACAUGUGACUCAGGCAUAUGUGAAAUAUGACUCCAGUGUGGCUGACACAUGUCUCAGGCAUGGCUGACACGUGACUCAGGCAUUCAUCGCACAGUAUCCAUACGUGGCAGAUGUUUGCUUCACAUAUGGUGACAUGGCAUUCAUAUGUGGCUCCCACGUGACUCACACGUUGCUGACACGUGGCUCCCACAUACUCUGGCGUGUCUGGCAUGUGGCUCACGCAUGGCUCAGCCAUGUUUCAUGUGUGGUUCCCAUGUGCCUCAUGUGUGGUUCAAGCAUUGAACAUGCGUGCUUCACACGUGGUUCACAUGUGGUUCGAGUGUGUCACAUGUGGUUCAGGCAUGGUUCAGGGAGGCUCACACAUGGUUCAGGUGUAACUCAGGUGUGGCUCACACAUGGCCCAUGUCGAGGUCUCAUAUAGUUCAGGAGGGUUUCACCCGUGAUUCAGGCAUGGCUCACAGGUGGUUCAGCCAUGGCUCAGCCAUGGCUCACACGUAGUUCAGGCGUUCCUCAUACUGGGGUCAGGUGUGGCUGACACAUGAUUCAGGAGUUUGUCACACCUGGCUAACACAUGUCUCAGGUGAGGCUCACAAAUGGCUGGGGCGUUGCUCCAGCCUUGCUCACACGUGGCUCUGGCAUUGUUGGCACGUGGCUCAGGCAUGGCUGACACGAGACUCAGGUGUUUCUGACACGUGUCUCGGUCAUGGCACACAUUUUGUUCAGGUGUGGCUGAUGCGUGGUUCAGGCAUGGGUGACUGGUGGUUAGGGCAUGGCUGACAUGUGACUCAGGCAUGUGUGAAACAUGCCGGGUGUUGGUGACAUGUGACUCAGGCGUGGCUGACAUGUGGCUCAGGUGUGGCUACAACGUGACUCAUGUGUCAUUCAAACGUGAUUCAGGCUGCUUGUGUGGCAUGUUCUUCAGCCCUGGCUCACAUGUGACUCAGGCAUGGCUGACGUCUGGUGCAGGAGUGGCUGGAACGUGACUCAUGUGUGGCUCAAUGGUCAUUCAGGCAUGUCUGGCAUGUGAUUCAGUUGUCACUGACACUUGACCUAGGCAUGGUUGACACGUGACUCAGCUGUGGAUGACACGUGACUCAGGCAUGUCUUGCACGUGGUGUAGGUGUGGCUGACUCAUCACUCAGGCAUGGUUCACACGUGACUUAGUUGUGCCUGACUUGUGAUUCAGGCUUGGCUCACACAUUGUUCAGGUGUGCCUGAUACGUGGUUCAGGCAUGGCUGGCAUGGGGCUCAGGUGUGGCUGGUGUGAGGUUCUGGUGUGGCUGGCGCAUGGGGUAGCAAUGGGGGACAGGCGGUUCAAGUGUUGGUGACACAUGGCUCAGACGUGGCUGACAUGUGGCUUAUGUGUGAGUCCAGUGUGGCUGACAUGUGGUUCAGGUGUGGCUGGCUUGUGGUUCAGAUGUGGAUGGCAUGUGGUUCAAGCAAGGCUGUACCAAGGUCAAGAGAUGUUGGCUCAUUAUUCAGGGUCCACUGGCACAAGGUAAGCACAUGGCUCACAUGUGGUUCCAUCGUGUGCUGUUAGUGCUUUCAGAGUGUCGAGGU